UACCAGCUGGUGACUUUCCUACUCAAACCCUU
Molecule: non-coding RNA, 32 nt
Filed under: Homo sapiens (human)
Lineage: Eukaryota; Metazoa; Chordata; Mammalia; Primates; Hominidae
Source: RNAcentral